This 498-nucleotide ribosomal RNA is filed under the name uncultured bacterium. Its description in RNAcentral is "partial 16S ribosomal RNA". It matches the Rfam family "Bacterial small subunit ribosomal RNA", at positions 30 to 523 of the family's 1533-position model. The record is from RNAcentral.
AUUGAACGCUGGCGGCAUGCCUUACACAUGCAAGUCGAGCGGUAACAGGUCUUCGGAUGCUGACGAGUGGCGAACGGGUGAGUAAUACAUCGGAACGUGCCUAGUAGUGGGGGAUAACUACCCGAAAGAGUGGCUAAUACCGCAUGAGAUCUACGGAUGAAAGCAGGGGAUCGCAAGACCUUGUGCUACUAGAGCGGCCGAUGGCAGAUUAGGUAGUUGGUGGGAUAAAAGCUUACCAAGCCGACGAUCUGUAGCUGGUCUGAGAGGACGAUCAGCCACACUGGGACUGAGACACGGCCCAGACUCCUACGGGAGGCAGCAGUGGGGAAUUUUGGACAAUGGGCGAAAGCCUGAUCCAGCAAUGCCGCGUGCAGGAUGAAGGCCUUCGGGUUGUAAACUGCUUUUGUACGGAACGAAAAGCCCCGGGUUAAUACCCUGGGGUCAUGACGGUACCGUAAGAAUAAGCACCGGCUAACUACGUGCCAGCAGCCGCAGUAA